UUCGGUGAUGAUGCGCUUGGGGGACACACCCGUUCCCAUUCCGAACACGACGGUUAAGACCCAAGCGGUCGAUGGUACUUGGUGGGCAGCUGCCUGGGAGAGUAGAUGGUCGCCGAAG
This 118-nucleotide ribosomal RNA is filed under the name Firmicutes bacterium AF19-2LB. Lineage: Bacteria; Bacillati; Bacillota. The record is from RNAcentral. RNAcentral also lists the same sequence under 2 other names.